RNAcentral lists this ribosomal RNA (32 nucleotides) under Globisporangium ultimum. Its description in RNAcentral is "partial 18S ribosomal RNA". The record is from RNAcentral. Lineage: Eukaryota; Oomycota; Peronosporomycetes; Pythiales; Pythiaceae.
UUUCCGUAGGGUGAACCUGCGGAAGGAUCAUU